Molecule: long non-coding RNA, 593 nt
Filed under: Helianthus annuus (common sunflower)
Lineage: Eukaryota; Viridiplantae; Streptophyta; Magnoliopsida; Asterales; Asteraceae
Rfam family: Small nucleolar RNA Z43 (bases 492-593)
Source: RNAcentral
UAUCAAUGAUGAACAAAGAAAGGCUUGUUUCUCAUGAACAUUCGCAGUGGCCGCCUGAUUGAACUUUCGCCUUCGCCAGGCUUGAGAGUUCAUGUUGUUUCAUCCUUCCUUGGAUGUCUGAGAUCUUCUCAGAAACAUUCGCAGUGGCCGACCAAGAGCUUUCGCCUUCCCCAGGCUUGAGAGCUUGUGCUGUUUUGCUCCUUCCUUGGAUGUCUGAAGUUUUAUUUCAUUUAUUUAUUUAUAGAGAAUUAGGGUGGGUUUCUCAGUGAUGAUUUCAAUAGAUGACGAGUCUGAUACAUUAUCCAUUCCAUUCAGUAUGAAGACCAAUCGAGGCAUUUGUCUGAGAGAUAACCCUUUACCUCAUAUUUACUACAGUAUUUUUCGAUUUUUUAAAUUUCUAUUUUAAUCAUGCCGAAAAGACUGAAAUACCUUUUCAAUUUUGUUCAAUGUUUUCUAUAUUUCUCCAAUUUAUGUUUUGAUUCUUUAGAAAAGGGCUAUGAUGAUCCCAUGUGAUAAGGUCUCGUUCGUCGUAACGGUGAUUAACAAUCACCUUGCCGACCAUACUGUUAUAUCACCACCCAUAAACUGAGUCC